This 449-nucleotide ribosomal RNA is filed under the name uncultured bacterium. Its description in RNAcentral is "partial 16S ribosomal RNA". It matches the Rfam family "Bacterial small subunit ribosomal RNA", at positions 29 to 523 of the family's 1533-position model. The record is from RNAcentral.
AACGAACGCUGGCGGCAGGCUUAACACAUGCAAGUCGAACGCAUCCUUCGGGGUGAGUGGCAGACGGGUGAGUAACGCGUGGGAACGUGCCCUUCAGUUCGGGAUAACCCAGGGAAACUUGGGCUAAUACCGGAUACGUGCGAGAGCAGAAAGAUUUAUCGCUGAAGGAUCGGCCCGCGUGUGAUUAGCUAGUUGGUGGGGUAAUGGCCCACCAAGGUGACGAUCAGUAGCUGGUCUGAGAGGAUGAUCAGCCACAUUGGGACUGAGACACGGCCCAAACUCCUACGGGAGGCAGCAGUGGGGAAUAUUGGACAAUGGGCGCAAGCCUGAUCCAGCUAUGCCGCGUGAGUGAUGAAGGCCUUAGGGUUGUAAAGCUCUUUCGUCCGGGACGAUAAUGACGGUACCGGAAGAAGAAGCCCCGGCUAACUUCGUGCCAGCAGCCGCGGUAA